UGUACUAGGGGUGCCAACCGAUUGGUGGCUGAGAUCAUACCCUUAACCUGAUCCAGGUAAUGCUGGCGGAGGUAAGUUACAAAA
This 84-nucleotide non-coding RNA is filed under the name uncultured Anaerococcus sp. The record is from RNAcentral. Lineage: Bacteria; Bacillati; Bacillota; Tissierellia; Tissierellales; Peptoniphilaceae.